CCCGGGCCUUGUACACACCGCCCGUCACGUCACGAAAGUCGGUAACACCCGAAGCCCAUGGCCCAACUCUUCGGAGAGGGAGUGGUCGAAGGUGGGACUGGCGAUUGGGACG
RNAcentral lists this ribosomal RNA (112 nucleotides) under uncultured bacterium. RNAcentral describes it as "partial 16S ribosomal RNA". It matches the Rfam family "Bacterial small subunit ribosomal RNA", at positions 1373 to 1482 of the family's 1533-position model. The record is from RNAcentral.